RNAcentral lists this unclassified non-coding RNA (339 nucleotides) under Hevea brasiliensis (rubber tree). Lineage: Eukaryota; Viridiplantae; Streptophyta; Magnoliopsida; Malpighiales; Euphorbiaceae. The record is from RNAcentral.
AAAAAAGUAAAAUCUCACAUAACACAGCAGCAGUCACAAGUCUCAUGAGUGCUCCUUUAAACAUGAUACCAAAGAAAUUUCUGAAUCCAGAUAAUUCAAGAGAAUCGGAAAGACACUAACCAAUCAGACACUGCAUGAAAGCAUCCACAACACAGUGAGCAGAGUCAUCGAUGUAUAUAUGUAAGCCAAACCAGCUCAUCUGUGCAGCCAUCAUCUUUCUUCAACUUUCUUUCUGUUCAUCAUCAGCAUCGUGAUACUCCUGCUCCUCCUCCGGAACCGGCUUCAGCUCCACAUCCACCUCAGCCAAGCCCUUCUCCACCGCCCCAUCAACUCCAUCCG